Molecule: long non-coding RNA, 1273 nt
Organism: Acanthochromis polyacanthus (spiny chromis)
Lineage: Eukaryota; Metazoa; Chordata; Actinopteri; Pomacentridae
Exons: 2
Source: RefSeq, a predicted model, not a curated record
CCGCCGCCGGGGUCCCGAUGACGCACGGACCUCAGCGCAUGAUUGGUUUUCUUUUUUUUCCCCUCACAGCGGAGUUAAAGUGAGAGUGAGCGGUCACGAUUGAGCAGCAGCAGGAUCUUAAUUCAGGUGGCAACAGAGCUCUUCACACAGCGCAGGAUGGAAAAGUUCUAACAGCUAAAGCCCAAGACGUGGAGCCAAAGAGAGCCAUUGACUUUAUACAUAAAGCAUUCACCAUUUUACUCUCCAUGUCCUUCUUUAUCUUUUUGUCAGCUUGUCUCCCAUUGAUCUGUGUCAGGAGCCACUCAGUGUGAUUACUGUACUGUCAGUGUGAGACACAGAGACUCCACUGAGGUCCAAAUGAACACAGUGCUCUCUCACUUUAUCAAAUCACCCCUCUACACACACACAGACACACAGUUUGUAUUAUUUUUUUGUGAUACAAGCGUCUAGCCUCUGUUUUCUGGGUACAAUGUGUACCAAGAACAGACUUAAGGAGAACAGAAAUACUUCAAGAGGUGCUUCAGGACACUAUCUUCUGUGAACCUCCUCGUUUUCAGCAUUUGAGGUCUUGCUCUGUGCAUCCAGUUCCUGCAGCCAGAAUGUUUUUCUGCACAUGAUGUCUUUUUUUGAGCCCGUACAGAGGCUGGUGACUUGGCUGUCACGUGCUUUUGUUUCACCGAGUUCAUUUUUAAUGCUGGAAAACUACAGACAGCAACCGAAGAUUCUUGUGUUCCAGUGAGUUUUAUCGCGACACAAGUACGAACAGAUGCUUGUGCGUCAGAUGUGUUGCAUCUUCUAACGCUCCUGUCACCUCCAUUCACAUGAAAGGAGAGCGGAUGAACUGCUCCCACUCAUGCUAACUCACGUGCUUCACUUCGUGGUUAAUUACCCUUUGAACUGAACACGUCACAGUUUUUUCUGACACAAUCUCAAUUUAUUUUAUUUUUUCUAGUCACAUUAGCAUCUGCUUAUACUGCAUGUUAUUGUGAAAAUACUAAAGGUUAAGAUCUGCAGUAGAGUCUUUGUGAAGCUGAAAACAUGGAUGGACGACCCUCCCGGGGAAAACCAGUGAGAACAAUUGCAUUUGGGUCUCUGAUAACCCCCAUUAUGUGGCAUCUUUAUUGUAUCUUUGGACCCCCAGGAACUGAGCAGGGCUCUAUGGAUAAAAAUGAUUAGAUAUUAUUAAUUGUUAGCUUAAUAAUGAAGUAAUCAUUUGGGAUAUUUGAAGUAAACAAUGUGCAAAAUGAUUUAAUAAAAAACACUGAAUGAGAAA